CCCCUAGAUGUCCUGGGCCGCACGCGCGAUACAAUGUAAAGUUCAGAAAGCAUAUCCUGUUCCGGAAGGCAAUGGGUAAUCUUUUCAAUAUUUUACGUGUUAGGGAUCGAUCUUUGCAAUUAUAGAUCUUGAACGAGGAAUACCUAGUAAGUGCAGCUCAUCAGGCUGUACUGAUUACGUCCCUGCCCUUUGUACACACCGCCCGUCGCUCCUACCGAUUUCGAGUGGUCCGGUGAAUCUUUUGGAAUUAGAGUGCAAACUCAAACUAAGAUCGAUAAACCUUAUCACUUAGAGGAAGGAGAAGUCGUAACA
This 312-nucleotide ribosomal RNA is filed under the name uncultured eukaryote. RNAcentral describes it as "partial 18S ribosomal RNA". It matches the Rfam family "Eukaryotic small subunit ribosomal RNA", at positions 1470 to 1796 of the family's 1831-position model. The record is from RNAcentral.